Molecule: ribosomal RNA, 492 nt
Filed under: uncultured bacterium
Lineage: Bacteria
Description: partial 16S ribosomal RNA
Rfam family: Bacterial small subunit ribosomal RNA
Source: RNAcentral
AGUGAACGCUGGCGGUAGGCCUAACACAUGCAAGUCGAACGGCAGCACAGUAAGAGCUUGCUCUUACGGGUGGCGAGUGGCGGACGGGUGAGGAAUACAUCGGAAUCUACUUUUUCGUGGGGGGUAACGUAGGGAAACUUACGCUAAUACCGCAUACGACCUACGGGUGAAAGCAGGGGAUCUUCGGACCUUGCGCGAUUGAAUGAGCCGAUGUCGGAUUAGCUAGUUCGCGGGGUAAAGGCCCACCAAGGCGACGAUCCGUAGCUGGUCUGAGAGGAUGAUCAGCCACACUGGAACUGAGACACGGUCCAGACUCCUACGGGAGGCAGCAGUGGGGAAUAUUGGACAAUGGGCGCAAGCCUGAUCCAGCCAUACCGCGUGGGUGAAGAAGGCCUUCGGGUUGUAAAGCCCUUUUGUUGGGAAAGAAAAGCAGCAGGUUAAUACCCCGCUGUUCUGACGGUACCCAAAGAAUAAGCACCGGCUAACUUCGUG